RNAcentral lists this ribosomal RNA (207 nucleotides) under uncultured bacterium. RNAcentral describes it as "partial 16S ribosomal RNA". It matches the Rfam family "Bacterial small subunit ribosomal RNA", at positions 568 to 774 of the family's 1533-position model. The record is from RNAcentral.
CAUGUAGGCGGCCAUGCAAGCUUGGUGUGGAAUUCCGUGGCUCAACCACGGAACUGCAUUGAGAACUAUAUGGCUGGAGUUAGUGAGGGGGAGCCGGAAUUCCAGGUGUAGGGGUGAAAUCUGUAGAUAUCUGGAAGAACACCAAUGGCGAAGGCAGGCUUCUAUCACAUGACUGACGCUGAGGUGCGAAGGUGCGGGGAGCAAACA